CCUACGGGAGGCAGCAGUGGGGAAUAUUGCACAAUGGGGGAAACCCUGAUGCAGCAACGCCGCGUGAGUGAUGACGGCCUUCGGGUUGUAAAGCUCUGUCUUCAGGGACGAUAAUGACGGUGCCUGAGGAGGAAGCCACGGCUAAGUACGUGCCACCAGCGGCGGGGAUACGUAGGUGGCGGCCGUUGUCCGGAUUUGCUGGGCGUAAAGGGAGCGUAGGCGGACUUUUAAGUGAGCUGUGAAAUACGCGGGAUCAAAUUGAGUGCUGCAUUUCAAACUGGAAGUCUAGAGUGAAGGAGAGGAGAAUGGAAUUCCUGGUGUAGCGGUGAAAUGCGUAGAGAUUAGGAAGAACACCAGUGGCGAAGGCGAUUCUCUGGACUGUAACUGACGCUGAGGCUCGAAAGCGUGGGGAGCAAACAGGAUUAGAUACCCGUGUAGUC
Molecule: ribosomal RNA, 440 nt
Filed under: uncultured bacterium
Lineage: Bacteria
Description: partial 16S ribosomal RNA
Rfam family: Bacterial small subunit ribosomal RNA
Source: RNAcentral